RNAcentral lists this long non-coding RNA (844 nucleotides) under Nicotiana benthamiana. RNAcentral describes it as "long non-coding RNA (NBEN_LNC036517)". The record is from RNAcentral. Lineage: Eukaryota; Viridiplantae; Streptophyta; Magnoliopsida; Solanales; Solanaceae.
AGCCUCUGGUUCCUCUAGUCUCUCUCGAACUCUCUCAACCUCUGAAACCCUAGAAGCCACCUACCCCAUCUCCGACCUAAACUCCACCGGAAUUCAUAGUUAAUCUAGCCAUGGAUGAUCUCUACUCACCAUCACCUUCUCCUAUACACCUGUUCGCGAAAGAUUCGAGGCUAGACCUCGAGGGUCUUCCUCCAGACCUUUGUCGAUUCAAGAUUGUUUUACUGUUUCUGGCCUUGCUCCGGCGUACAUUAGCCGUUCGAGCCUGGAUUCGACCGUAUUGGCUCAGAUCCGUGCUCAAGACUUCCAAGCCUUGUCAUCCUUUUGAGUUCUCAGAAACCCUAGCCUUAUCGAUGUUCAUUUUUGCUUACCCUUUUAGAUAUGUGCUAUAUCUAUGCUAUAUUUGAUGUUUGGAGUAUUGUCCCCAAAUUUCUUUUUAAAAUCGUUGGUUUUUCUAAAUUAGGGUUUCUGAAAGUCUUUAGAUUCUUGUUGUUCUUUCCUUUUAGAUGUUUGUAUGUAUUAUGCUCGUAUGUUUUCCUCCUGUAUUAUGCAUGUAUUGUUUUCUCACACGAUUAGUCUGAUUUGUUUCCAUUCUUCUUCCAUGCGUAUUUACUAUUGUGUUUCUCAAAUGUUUUGCUUUUCUAAACUAUAUUCGUGUUCUUGUCAAGCAUGCUUCAUCUGUUCUGUUUAAACCCCCAUCUUUUCUUAUGUUCAGAAGUUGUCUGAACAUGUUUUUUCAUGCCUUAGAAUGGUUUUUCUUUCCUUUAUUGUUUCUGCAUUUCUCCUGAUUCUUAUGAGACUCCUUGAAACUAUUCACUUACAUUCUCGUUUUUGUGUUUGAUUCGAU